GCCACAUCCCGUACGAUCACUAAAGUUAAGCAACGUCGAGCCUGGUCAGUACUUAGAUGGGUGACCGCUUGGGAAUUCCUG
This is a non-coding RNA of Acanthosepion pharaonis, 81 nucleotides long. The record is from the annotation of a GenBank genome assembly. NCBI's taxonomy places the organism in Eukaryota, Metazoa, Mollusca, Cephalopoda, Sepiida, Sepiidae.